RNAcentral lists this ribosomal RNA (425 nucleotides) under uncultured bacterium. RNAcentral's name for it is "partial 16S ribosomal RNA". It matches the Rfam family "Bacterial small subunit ribosomal RNA", at positions 354 to 796 of the family's 1533-position model. The record is from RNAcentral.
GUGGGGAAUCUUAGACAAUGGGCGCAAGCCUGAUCUAGCCAUGCCGCGUGAGCGAUGAAGGCCUUAGGGUUGUAAAGCUCUUUCGCUGGGGAAGAUAAUGACUGUACCCAGUAAAGAAGCCCCGGCUAACUCCGUGCCAGCAGCCGCGGUAAUACGGAGGGGGCUAGCGUUGUUCGGAAUUACUGGGCGUAAAGCGCGCGUAGGCGGAUUGGAAAGUUGGGGGUGAAAUCCCGGGGCUCAACCUCGGAACUGCCUUCAAAACUCCCAGUCUUGAGUUCGAGAGAGGUGAGUGGAAUUCCGAGUGUAGAGGUGAAAUUCGUAGAUAUUCGGAGGAACACCAGUGGCGAAGGCGGCUCACUGGCUCGAUACUGACGCUGAGGUGCGAAAGCGUGGGGAGCAAACAGGAUUAGAAACCCCAGUAGUCC